GAUGAACGCUGGCGGCGUGCCUAAUACAUGCAAGUCGAGCGAACGGACGAGAAGCUUGCUUUUCUGAUGUUAGCGGCGGACGGGUGAGUAACACGUGGAUAACCUACCUAUAAGACUGGGAUAACUUCGGGAAACCGGAGCUAAUACCGGAUGAUAUUCUGAACCGCAUGGUUCAAAAGUGAAAGACGGUCUUGCUGUCACUUAUAGAUGGAUCCGCGCUGCAUUAGCUAGUUGGUAAGGUAACGGCUUACCAAGGCAACGAUGCAUAGCCGACCUGAGAGGGUGAUCGGCCACACUGGAACUGAGACACGGUCCAGGCUCCUACGGGAGGCAGCAGUAGGGAAUCUUCCGCAAUGGGCGAAAGCCUGACGGAGCAACGCCGCGUGAGUGAUGAAGGUCUUCGGAUCGUAAAACUCUGUUAUUAGGGAAGAACAUAUGUGUAAGUAACUGUGCACAUCUUGACGGUACCUAAUCAGAAAGCCACGGCUAACUACGUG
This 497-nucleotide ribosomal RNA is filed under the name uncultured bacterium. RNAcentral describes it as "partial 16S ribosomal RNA". It matches the Rfam family "Bacterial small subunit ribosomal RNA", at positions 28 to 507 of the family's 1533-position model. The record is from RNAcentral.